GACGAACGCUGGCGGCGUGCUUAACACAUGCAAGUCGAACGGAAAGGCCCUGCUUGCAGGGUACUCGAGUGGCGAACGGGUGAGUAACACGUGGGUGAUCUGCCCUGCACUUCGGGAUAAGCCUGGGAAACUGGGUCUAAUACCGGAUAGGAGCCAUUUUUAGUGUGAUGGUUGGAAAGUUUUUUCGGUGUAGGAUGAGCUCGCGGCCUAUCAGCUUGUUGGUGGGGUAAUGGCCUACCAAGGCGGCGACGGGUAGCUGGCCUGAGAGGGUGGACGGCCACAUUGGGACUGAGAUACGGCCCAGACUCCUACGGGAGGCAGCAGUGGGGAAUAUUGCCCAAUGGGCGCAAGCCUGAUGCAGCGACGCCGCGUGGGGGAUGACGGCCUUCGGGUUGUAAACUCCUUUCGCUAGGGACGAAGCUUUUUGUGACGGUACCUAGAUAAGAAGCACCGGCUAACUACGUG
This 465-nucleotide ribosomal RNA is filed under the name uncultured bacterium. RNAcentral describes it as "partial 16S ribosomal RNA". It matches the Rfam family "Bacterial small subunit ribosomal RNA", at positions 28 to 507 of the family's 1533-position model. The record is from RNAcentral.